RNAcentral lists this ribosomal RNA (977 nucleotides) under Campylobacter coli. RNAcentral's name for it is "bacterial SSU rRNA". It matches the Rfam family "Bacterial small subunit ribosomal RNA", at positions 556 to 1533 of the family's 1533-position model. The record is from RNAcentral. Lineage: Bacteria; Pseudomonadati; Campylobacterota; Epsilonproteobacteria; Campylobacterales; Campylobacteraceae.
GGGCGUAAAGGGCGCGUAGGCGGAUUAUCAAGUCUCUUGUGAAAUCUAAUGGCUUAACCAUUAAACUGCUUGGGAAACUGAUAGUCUAGAGUGAGGGAGAGGCAGAUGGAAUUGGUGGUGUAGGGGUAAAAUCCGUAGAUAUCACCAAGAAUACCCAUUGCGAAGGCGAUCUGCUGGAACUCAACUGACGCUAAGGCGCGAAAGCGUGGGGAGCAAACAGGAUUAGAUACCCUGGUAGUCCACGCCCUAAACGAUGUACACUAGUUGUUGGGGUGCUAGUCAUCUCAGUAAUGCAGCUAACGCAUUAAGUGUACCGCCUGGGGAGUACGGUCGCAAGAUUAAAACUCAAAGGAAUAGACGGGGACCCGCACAAGCGGUGGAGCAUGUGGUUUAAUUCGAAGAUACGCGAAGAACCUUACCUGGGCUUGAUAUCCUAAGAACCUUUUAGAGAUAAGAGGGUGCUAGCUUGCUAGAACUUAGAGACAGGUGCUGCACGGCUGUCGUCAGCUCGUGUCGUGAGAUGUUGGGUUAAGUCCCGCAACGAGCGCAACCCACGUAUUUAGUUGCUAACGGUUCGGCCGAGCACUCUAAAUAGACUGCCUUCGUAAGGAGGAGGAAGGUGUGGACGACGUCAAGUCAUCAUGGCCCUUAUGCCCAGGGCGACACACGUGCUACAAUGGCAUAUACAAUGAGACGCAAUACCGCGAGGUGGAGCAAAUCUAUAAAAUAUGUCCCAGUUCGGAUUGUUCUCUGCAACUCGAGAGCAUGAAGCCGGAAUCGCUAGUAAUCGUAGAUCAGCCAUGCUACGGUGAAUACGUUCCCGGGUCUUGUACUCACCGCCCGUCACACCAUGGGAGUUGAUUUCACUCGAAGCCGGAAUACUAAACUAGUUACCGUCCACAGUGGAAUCAGCGACUGGGGUGAAGUCGUAACAAGGUAACCGUAGGAGAACCUGCGGUUGGAUCACCUCCUUUCUA